GUGCUCGAUUCGGCAGCAAAUAAACUAAAAUUGGAUCGAUACAGAGAAGAUUAGCAUGGCCCCUGCAUAAGGAUGACAUGCAAAUUUGUGAAGCAUUCCACCAAAGA
RNAcentral lists this small nuclear RNA (107 nucleotides) under Salvator merianae (Argentine black and white tegu). Lineage: Eukaryota; Metazoa; Chordata; Lepidosauria; Squamata; Teiidae. The record is from RNAcentral.